AACGCACAUUGCGCCUGCCAGCAUUCUGGCAGGCAUGCCUGUCCGAGCGUCAUUUCCACCCUCAUGCGCCCUGUCUGCGCGUGGUGUUGGGGCUCUGCUCUCCCUGCCCUGGUGCGGGAGAGGCCCUGAAAGCGAGUGGCGGGCCGCCUGGUUGGCUCCGAGCGCAGUAGAAACGCACUGUUUUUUUCAUCGCUCUGGACGUCGCCGGCGGCGCCUGCCGUCAAAACGCACAAUGACGUGCAACUUUUUUACAAGGUUGACCUCGGAUCAGGUAGGACUACCCGCUGAACUUAA
RNAcentral lists this unclassified non-coding RNA (294 nucleotides) under uncultured Ophiostomatales. RNAcentral's name for it is "sequence contains 5.8S rRNA gene, ITS2, 28S rRNA gene". Lineage: Eukaryota; Fungi; Ascomycota; Sordariomycetes; Ophiostomatales. The record is from RNAcentral.